UCAAUGAGAAUGCUUCAAAGAAUUUGAAUGACGUCAGCCAGAAGGCCAUUCAGCUGUUGGCAAUUGUCGAGAGAGUUCGCAGGCUAUUGAAAACCACAGUAAGGCCACAUGAAGGCGACCAACUUAGCAUCUCACUACUUUUUCUUCGUCCACCGAAGCGAACAGAGAUUGUUAGAACGCUCACCAGAGUGGAAAAACGGAGGCUUUUCGUAUUGCGUGUGAACGGUGGAAACGGAGGUUAUCGAAUAAGGUAACGUCACUGAUAUUAUUCGCGCUUUAUUUGCAUAAAUCAAACAAAAAAACAUGGCGGUUGCUAUCACUGAUAACGCAUGCGCAUAGAAUUCGAUCCGCGUUGUGCAUGCGCAGUAGCAGGGGUCAAUCGUCACAGCGUAAUCGUUUGGACGCCAAUACGAUUCGAAUGCACUUCGUGUGUACGCGUAUCUUUUUGAAUACGGAGAAAAAACAUUUUUUUUCACUGAAAUAAAA
Nematostella vectensis (starlet sea anemone) is the source of this 486-nucleotide long non-coding RNA. RefSeq lists it as uncharacterized. The transcript has 2 exons. NCBI's taxonomy places the organism in Eukaryota, Metazoa, Cnidaria, Anthozoa, Actiniaria, Edwardsiidae. The record is from RefSeq and is a predicted model, not a curated record.